RNAcentral lists this ribosomal RNA (254 nucleotides) under uncultured prokaryote. RNAcentral's name for it is "partial 16S ribosomal RNA". It matches the Rfam family "Bacterial small subunit ribosomal RNA", at positions 524 to 776 of the family's 1533-position model. The record is from RNAcentral.
UACGGAGGAUCCAAGCGUUAUCCGGAAUUACUGGGCGUAAAGAGUUGCGUAGGUGGCAUUGUAAGUUGGUAGUGAAAGCGUAGGGCUCAACCCUAUAUCCAUUACCAAAACUGCAAAGCUAGAGGAUGAGAGAGGUCGCUAGAAUUCCCUGUGUAGGAGUGAAAUCCGUAGAUAUAGGGAGGAAUACCGAUGGCGUAGGCAGGCGACUGGCUCAUUCCUGACACUAAGGCACGAAAGCGUGGGGAGCAAACGGG